RNAcentral lists this ribosomal RNA (468 nucleotides) under uncultured bacterium. RNAcentral describes it as "partial 16S ribosomal RNA". It matches the Rfam family "Bacterial small subunit ribosomal RNA", at positions 28 to 507 of the family's 1533-position model. The record is from RNAcentral.
GACGAACGCUGGCGGCGUGCUUAACACAUGCAAGUCGAACGGAAAGGCCCUGCUUUUGUGGGGUGCUCGAGUGGCGAACGGGUGAGUAACACGUGAGUAACCUGCCCUUGACUUUGGGAUAACUUCAGGAAACUGGGGCUAAUACCGGAUAGGAGCUCCUGCUGCAUGGUGGGGGUUGGAAAGUUUCGGCGGUUGGGGAUGGACUCGCGGCUUAUCAGCUUGUUGGUGGGGUAGUGGCUUACCAAGGCUUUGACGGGUAGCCGGCCUGAGAGGGUGACCGGCCACAUUGGGACUGAGGUACGGCCCAGACUCCUACGGGAGGCAGCAGUGGGGAAUAUUGCACAAUGGGCGGAAGCCUGAUGCAGCAACGCCGCGUGUGGGAUGACGGCCUUCGGGUUGUAAACCGCUUUCGCCUGUGACGAAGCGUGAGUGACGGUAAUGGGUAAAGAAGCACCGGCUAACUACGUG